AUUGAACGCUGGCGGCUGGCCUAACACAUGCAAGUCGAGCGAGCGGCGGAAGGGUGAGUAAUGUAUGGGGACUGCCCGAUAGCGGGGGAUAACUACUGGAAACGGUAGCUAAUACCGCAUACUAUCGGAUAACCCAUAUGGGAUUAGCUCGUAGGUGAGGUAAUGGCUCACCUAGGCGACGAUCCCUAGCGGGUCUGAGAGGAGGAUCAGCCACAAUGGGACCGAGACACGGCCCAGACUCCUACGGAGGCAGCAGUGGGGAAUAUUGCACAAUGGGCGCAAGCCUGAUGCAGCCAUGCCGCGUGUAUGAAGAAGGCCCUAGGGUUGUAAAGUACUUUCAGUCGGGAGGCGUUACCGACAGAAGAAGCACCGGAUAACUCCGGGCCAGCAGCCGCGGUAAUUC
This 403-nucleotide ribosomal RNA is filed under the name uncultured bacterium. RNAcentral describes it as "partial 16S ribosomal RNA". It matches the Rfam family "Bacterial small subunit ribosomal RNA", at positions 30 to 526 of the family's 1533-position model. The record is from RNAcentral.